UGCUGGUCUAAUGGCAAUGGGUUAUCAGAACUUAUCAACAUUAGUGUCACUUAAGUUGGUAGACAGCCCCCGACUGCUAAAUUUAACUGGCUUGAU
RNAcentral lists this non-coding RNA (96 nucleotides) under Microcebus murinus (gray mouse lemur). Lineage: Eukaryota; Metazoa; Chordata; Mammalia; Primates; Cheirogaleidae. The record is from RNAcentral.